AGGUAUAGAAAGCUCUUGGAGGAAGCUGUGCAAUAGAAGCAAAUCUAAUUUUUCAAGCAAACACAUCGGUCUCCUGUGUGGUAUAGCUGUGGGUCUUAUACACAGUUUUCUCUUCCUCUUUAACCUGGAGAGCCCUCCAAAAGAGAAUAGGGAAGGCUGUUUUCAUCUAGCCUGGAAAAUACACAGGUCCCAAGGCGAUUGACUUUGUAAGCUCACUGGCAAUGAAGAGUGUAGAAAAUGUUGAUGUACCUGUUCCUGUGAAUUUGAAGGACCUGUAAGCUGUGCACAGACUUCCUCUGUGGAGUUCAGUCUGCUCUCCACAAUAUGUUCUGGUGGAGCAGGGAGAGAAGCAAGGAAGGGACCCCAAGGAUUGGCAGCAAUACAAUUGUCAGCCUGGCUUAGAGUGGGUCCUGUGACUAUGGCUUCUGCCAGAUGCUUUUAAAGAAGAUAGAAGCUGUGCACAACAAGCAAAUGGUAAAGAAGGCAGAGCCGGAGCAGUUCCUCCUGCAGUGCUUUUGUCACAUGGCCCCAUCUCUGACCUCACUGCUGUUGUGUCACCUGAGACUCCUCUCUGUAAACCUGUACCAGAGCCUCUGUGCUGCAGAGCAAAAUGGACUAUGAAUUGACUCUGAGGGUACAGCAAAAUAUGGUGUAGGUGCAUCUUCAUGACCAGGAGGUGGAUAACAACAACCAUCUCAGAAAAACACAAGUCCAAGGAUUUCCAACACGCUUAUUUGGUUACAAAUGAGCCCCUGGCCAAGCUGCUCUUCUUUCUUAAGAACAAGCAAGCUAGGACAUCUUACUAUGACAUGAGAAAAAUGUCAGAUAGAAGAAAUCCUGGGGAGAAUGUUAAAAUGAAUGGCUUACCUGACAGAGAGGAAGGAAAUUUGAGCCUGCACAGUUCAGGUGCCUGAAAUCAUACACCACUCUCAUAAUAUGAGGUUCCCAUGUGAAGCAAUACAGAAUAUUCCUG
RNAcentral lists this long non-coding RNA (973 nucleotides) under Gallus gallus (chicken). RNAcentral's name for it is "lncRNA (ENSGALG00000047021.1)". Lineage: Eukaryota; Metazoa; Chordata; Aves; Galliformes; Phasianidae. The record is from RNAcentral.